RNAcentral lists this ribosomal RNA (465 nucleotides) under uncultured bacterium. Its description in RNAcentral is "partial 16S ribosomal RNA". It matches the Rfam family "Bacterial small subunit ribosomal RNA", at positions 338 to 795 of the family's 1533-position model. The record is from RNAcentral.
CCUACGGGAGGCAGCAGUAGGGAAUCUUCCACAAUGGGCGAAAGCCUGAUGGAGCAACGCCGCGUGGGUGAAGAAGGUCUUCGGAUCGUAAAACCCUGUUGUUAGAGAAGAAAGUGCGUGAGAGUAACUGUUCACGUUUCGACGGUAUCUAACCAGAAAGCCACGGCGAACUACGUGCCAGCAGCCGCGGUAAUACGUAGGUGGCAAGCGUUAUCCGGAUUUAUUGGGCGUAAAGGGAACGCAGGCGGUCUUUUAAGUCUGAUGUGAAAGCCUUCGGCUUAACCGGAGUAGUGCAUUGGAAACUGGGAGACUUGAGUGCAGAAGAGGCGAGUGGAACUCCAUGUGUAGCGGUGAAAUGCUUAGAUAUAUGGAAGAACACCAGUGGCGAAAGCGGCUCUCUGGUCUGUAACUGACGCUGAGGUUCGAAAGCGUGGGUAGCAAACAGGAUUAGAUACCCUUGUAGUC